ACCAGUGUGGCAUAGUGGUUUGAGCACUGGAUUACGACUUUGGAGACCAGGGUUCAAUUUCCUGCUUGGCCA
Molecule: non-coding RNA, 72 nt
Organism: Phrynosoma platyrhinos (Desert horned lizard)
Lineage: Eukaryota; Metazoa; Chordata; Lepidosauria; Squamata; Phrynosomatidae
Source: the annotation of a GenBank genome assembly